RNAcentral lists this ribosomal RNA (54 nucleotides) under Stachybotrys chartarum. Its description in RNAcentral is "partial 18S ribosomal RNA". It matches the Rfam family "Eukaryotic small subunit ribosomal RNA", at positions 1778 to 1831 of the family's 1831-position model. Lineage: Eukaryota; Fungi; Ascomycota; Sordariomycetes; Hypocreales; Stachybotryaceae. The record is from RNAcentral.
UGAAGUAAGAAUCGUAACAAGGUCUCCGUUGGUGAACCAGCGGAGGGAUCAUUA